This 561-nucleotide long non-coding RNA is filed under the name Mytilus galloprovincialis (Mediterranean mussel). Lineage: Eukaryota; Metazoa; Mollusca; Bivalvia; Mytilida; Mytilidae. The record is from RNAcentral.
AAAAUGAACUUUUUUAAUAUACUUUAUAAACCAAAUAAAAGACCCUCGUAUGUUGAUCAAUGCAAAUCCAAAAGUGAUAGAUCAACAUUAUGUAAAUUGAGGUUAAGUGCUCAUACUUUAUCUAUUGAAAGAGGGCGAUAUCUAAAAAUACCAAAGCAGAAUAGGGUAUGUCUUUGCUGUAACAAUGGAGACAUUGAAGAUGAACUUCACUUUCUUUUAAAAUGUUCCUCCUAUAAAUAUGUGAGAGAUAACCUUAUUAAAAAAUUAAAUAAUGUUCUAUUGAACAACAAAUUUUCUUCCUUAUCAUAUAACUUACUUAUAUCAAUUCUAAAUAGUAAUUCCCAAACAAUAUUAAAAAUUGUUGUCAACUAUUUGAAUGAAUGCUUGUUGGUGAGAAACUCAUUAUUAAAAGGUACUUGAUUUUUGUAAUAAUGUAUAUGCUUCUCAUUUAUUUUUUAUAUAUUUCUCUCAUAAUUAUCCACUGUCACUCCUUCAUUGUAUAUAUAUGUUAUUGUAGUUAGUCUUUAAUUUGUUGCCAUAACCAUUUAUUGUCAAUGUGUU